CUCACUUUGUUGCUUAUCACAUAGGCAGACAUUUUGUGAAAUGAAAAUAUACCAUAAGAUCCAUAUAUACUGGGUUACUGACAUGCUGAGAGAGGAGGAAUCUUGUUUGAAGAGCUCCUCCUCCAGCUUAAUAUGGUAGUUAGCUGGCAAUCCCAUGGCAGCAUGCUAUAAUGGGGUUUUACUGACUUCUGGAAACAAAAUAUGGAUGACACAUUGUCAGAAAGCUCAAUCCACAUCUUCUCAAAGUGAAGAUCAUGAACCUGAUGGAGUGGAUGCUGUUAUUUGGCACAACCUUAGAUUUGUAGCAAUCUCCUUCCAGCAAAUGGCAAUGGGCUCAGACCUCAGGGGAAUUUCAGGAUUCAACCCAUGGAACUGUAUGAGAGAACUCAUGCAGCAGAUAGAUUCCUC
Molecule: long non-coding RNA, 408 nt
Organism: Zootoca vivipara (common lizard)
Lineage: Eukaryota; Metazoa; Chordata; Lepidosauria; Squamata; Lacertidae
Source: RefSeq, a predicted model, not a curated record